RNAcentral lists this ribosomal RNA (253 nucleotides) under uncultured bacterium. RNAcentral describes it as "partial 16S ribosomal RNA". It matches the Rfam family "Bacterial small subunit ribosomal RNA", at positions 524 to 776 of the family's 1533-position model. The record is from RNAcentral.
UACGGAGGGUGCAAGCGUUGUCCGGAUUCACUGGGCUUAAAGGGUGUGUAGGGGGAUAUUUAAGUCAGUGGUGAAAUCUCAAGGCUCAACCUUGAAACUGCCAUUGAUACUAUUUAUCUUGAAUAUCGUUGAGGUAGGCGGAAUAUAUCAUGUAGCGGUGAAAUGCUUAGAUAUGAUAUAGAACACCGAUUGCGAAGGCAGCUUGCUAAACGAUUAUUGACGCUGAGGCACGAAAGCGUGGGGAUCAAACAGG